ACGAACGCUGGCGGCAGGCCUAACACAUGCAAGUCGAGCGCCCUUUCGGGGGAGCGGCGGACGGGUGAGUAACGCGUGGGCAUAUGCCCUUCUCUACGGAAUAGCCUCGGGAAACUGAGAGUAAUACCGUAUACGCCCUGUGGGGGAAAGAUUUAUCGGGGAAGGAUUAGCCCGCGUUGGAUUAGGUAGUUGGUGGGGUAAUGGCCUACCAAGCCGACGAUCCAUAGCUGGUUUGAGAGGAUGUUCAGCCACACUGGGACUGAGACACGGCCCAGACUCCUACGGGAAGCAGCAGUGGGGAAUCUUAGACAAUGGGGGCAACCCUGAUCUAGCCAUGCCGCGUGAGUGAUGAAGGCCUUAGGGUUGUAAAGCUCUUUCAGCUGGGAAGAUAAUGACGGUACCAGCAGAAGAAGCCCCGGCUAACUCCGUG
This 430-nucleotide ribosomal RNA is filed under the name uncultured bacterium. RNAcentral's name for it is "partial 16S ribosomal RNA". It matches the Rfam family "Bacterial small subunit ribosomal RNA", at positions 29 to 507 of the family's 1533-position model. The record is from RNAcentral.